GCAUUAAUGGGGUAGUGGUAACCUGGGUCGUUGCCAUGGACACAGAUCGCUGAUACCUCUCGACCCGCCGGGGGUUCGAUUCCCUCUUAAUGCA
This 94-nucleotide transfer RNA is filed under the name Lentinula lateritia. Its description in RNAcentral is "tRNA-Gly". It matches the Rfam family "tRNA". From Rfam's summary of the family: Transfer RNA (tRNA) molecules are approximately 80 nucleotides in length. Lineage: Eukaryota; Fungi; Basidiomycota; Agaricomycetes; Agaricales; Omphalotaceae. The record is from RNAcentral.